Molecule: RNA transcript, 1520 nt
Organism: Odobenus rosmarus divergens (Pacific walrus)
Lineage: Eukaryota; Metazoa; Chordata; Mammalia; Carnivora; Odobenidae
Gene name: interferon regulatory factor 5-like
Exons: 2
Source: RefSeq, a predicted model, not a curated record
AUGAACCAGCCUGCCCCCAGGGCACCCCCUCCGCCCCGCCGCGUGCGAUUAAAGCCCUGGCUGGUGGCCCAGGUGAACAGCUGCCAGUACCCAGGGCUGCAGUGGGUCAAUGCGGAAAGGAAAUUCUUCUGCAUCCCCUGGCGCCAUGCCACGCGGCACAGCCCCAGCCAGGAUGGAGACAAUACCAUCUUCAAGGCCUGGGCCAAGGAGACAGGAAAGUACACGGAGGGGGUGGACGAGGCGGACCCGGCUAAGUGGAAGGACAACCUGCGCUGUGCCCUUAACAAGAGCCGUGACUUCCGCCUCAUCUAUGAUGGACCCCGGGACAUGCCGCCUCAGCCCUACAAGAUCUACGAGGUCUGCUCUAAUGGCUCCGCUCCCGCAGAGUCGCAGCCCCGUGAGGACUACACUUUUGGUGCAGGAGAGGAGGAGGAGGAGUUAGAGGAAAACAGGAGCACGUUACCUAGCCUGAGCAUCACAGAAGCAGGGCAACCUGGCCCCCCCAUGGCACCCUAUUCUCUACCCAAAGAGGAUGUCAAGUGGCCGCCCACUCUCCAGCAGCCUGUGGUGCUGGGCGCUCCUGCCCCAGACCCCAACCUCCUGGGCCCCGCCCCCGGCAACCCUGCUGGCUUUGGGGAGCUUCUCCUUGAGGUCCUGCUGAGCCUGCAGCCCGGGCCCCCGGCUGCCAGCCUGCCCCCCCUACGGGCGAACAACUCCUGCCCGACCUGCUGAUCAGCCCCCACAUGCUGCCUCUGACUGACCUGGAGAUCAAGUUCCAGUACCGGGGGCGGCCACCCCAGGCCCUCACCAUCAGCAACCCACAGGGCUGCCGGCUCUUCUACAGUCAGCUUGAGGCCACCCAGGAGCAGGUAGAGCUCUUCGGCCCUGUGAGCCUGGAGCAAGUGCGCUUCCCCAGCCCUGAGGACAUCCCCAGCAACAAGCAGCGCUUCUACACAAACCAGCUGCUGGAUGUCCUCGACCACGGGCUCAUACUCCAGCUGCAAGGCCAAGAUCUGUAUGCCAUCCACCUGCGCCAGUGCAAGGUGUUCUGGAGCGGGCCCUGCGCCUCAGCUCACAGCUCACACCCCGACCCCAUCCAGUGGGAGGUCAAAACCAAGCUCUUCAGCCUGGAGCAUUUUCUCAGUGAGCUCAUCCUGUUCCAGAAGGGCCAGACUAACACCCCACCGCCAUUUGAGAUCUUCUUCUGCUUUGGGGAGGAAUGGCCUGACCGCAAACCCCGAGAGAAGAAGCUCAUCACUGUACAGGUGGUGCCUGUAGCAGCUCGGCUGUUGCUGGAAAUGUUCUCAGGGGAGCUUUCUUGGUCAGCUGAUAGUAUCCGGCUACAGAUCUCAAGCCCAGACCUCAAAGACCGCAUGGUGGAGCAGUUCAAGGAGCUCCAUCACAUCUGGCAGUCCCAGCAGCAGUUGCAGCCUAUGGCCCAGGCCCCUCCUAUGGGAGGGGCCAGCCUCAGUGCUGGCCAGGGGGCCUGGCCCACGCACCCGGCUGGCAUGCAACAAUGA